GACGAACGCUGGCGGCGUGCCUAAUACAUGCAAGUAGAACGCACAGUUUAUACCGUAGCUUGCUACACCAUAGACUGUGAGUUGCGAACGGGUGAGUAACGCGUAGGUAACCUGCCUGGUAGCGGGGGAUAACUAUUGGAAACGAUAGCUAAUACCGCAUAAUAUUAAUUAUUGCAUGAUAAUUAAUUGAAAGGUGCAAUUGCACCACUACCAGAUGGACCUGCGUUGUAUUAGCUAGUAGGUGAGGUAACGGCUCACCUAGGCGACGAUACAUAGCCGACCUGGGAGGGUGAUCGGCCACACUGGGACUGAGACACGGCCCAGACUCCUACGGGAGGCAGCAGUAGGGGAUCUUCGGCAAUGGACGAAAGUCUGACCGAGCAACGCCGCGUGAGUGAAGGAGGUUUUCGGAUCGUAAAGCUCUGUUGUAAGGGAAGAACGGGUGUGAGAGUGGAAAGUUCACACUGUGACGGUAUCUUACCAGAAAGGGACGGCUAACUACGUG
Molecule: ribosomal RNA, 505 nt
Filed under: uncultured bacterium
Lineage: Bacteria
Description: partial 16S ribosomal RNA
Rfam family: Bacterial small subunit ribosomal RNA
Source: RNAcentral